RNAcentral lists this ribosomal RNA (497 nucleotides) under uncultured bacterium. RNAcentral describes it as "partial 16S ribosomal RNA". It matches the Rfam family "Bacterial small subunit ribosomal RNA", at positions 28 to 507 of the family's 1533-position model. The record is from RNAcentral.
GAUGAACGCUGGCGGCGUGCCUAAUACAUGCAAGUCGAACGCAUAGCGAAAGGUGCUUGCCCCUUUCAAGUGAGUGGCGAACGGGUGAGUAACACGUGGACAACCUGCCUCAAGGCUGGGGAUAACAUUUGGAAACAGAUGCUAAUACCGAAUAAAACUUAGUGUCGCAUGACACAAAGUUAAAAGGCGCUUCGGCGUCACCUAGAGAUGGAUCCGCGGUGCAUUAGUUAGUUGGUGGGGUAAAGGCCUACCAGGACAAUGAUGCAUAGCCGAGUUGAGAGACUGAUCGGCCACAUUGGGACUGAGACACGGCCCAAACUCCUACGGGAGGCUGCAGUAGGGAAUCUUCCACAAUGGGCGAAAGCCUGAUGGAGCAACGCCGCGUGUGUGAUGAAGGCUUUCGGGUCGUAAAGCACUGUUGUAUGGGAAGAACAGCUAGAAUAGGAAAUGAUUUUAGUUUGACGGUACCAUACCAGAAAGGGACGGCUAAAUACGUG